UGGUACCUACGGGGCGCAGCAGUGGGGAAUAUUGCACAAUGGGCGAAAGCCUGAUGCAGCAACGCCGCGUGAAGGAAGACGGUUUUCGGAUUGUAAACUUCUGUUCUUAGUGAAGAAUAAUGACGGUAACUAAGGAGCCAGCCACGGCUAACUACGUGCCAGCAGCCGCGGUAAUACGUAGGUGGCAAGCGUUGUCCGGAAUUACUGGGUGUAAAGGGAGCGUAGGCGGGAAGCCAAGUCAGCUGUGAAAACUACGGGCUUAACCUGUAGACCGCAGUUGAACCUGGCUUUCUUG
Molecule: ribosomal RNA, 295 nt
Filed under: uncultured bacterium
Lineage: Bacteria
Description: partial 16S ribosomal RNA
Rfam family: Bacterial small subunit ribosomal RNA
Source: RNAcentral